UACUCUGGCGGAGCCUAACACAUGCAGUCGAGCGAACUCUUCGGAGUGAGCGGCGGACGGGUUAGUAACGCGUGGGAACGUGCCCAGAUCUAAGGAAUAGCCACUGGAAACGGUGAGUAAUACCUUAUACGCCCUUCGGGGGAAAGAUUUAUCGGAUUUGGAUCGGCCCGCGUUAGAUUAGAUAGUUGGUGGGGUAACGGCCUACCAAGUCUACGAUCUAUAGCUGGUUUUAGAGGAUGAUCAGCAACACUGGGACUGAGACACGGCCCAGACUCCCACGGGAGGCAGCAGUGGGGAAUCUUGAACAAUGGGGGCAACCCUGAUCCAGCCAUGCCGCGUGAGUGAUGAAGGCCCUAGGGUCGUAAAGCUCUUUCGCCAGAGAUGGUAAUGACAGUAUCUGGUAAAGAAACCCCGGCUAACUCCGUGCCAGCAGCCGCGGGAAUACGGAGGGGGUUAGCGUUGUUCGGAAUUACUGGGCGUAAAGCGCGCGUAGGCGGAUCGGAAAGUUGGGGGUGAAAUCCCGGGGCUCAACCCCGGAACUGCCUCCAAAACUAUCGGUCUAGAGUUCGAGAGAGGUGAGUGGAAUUCCGAGUGUAGAGGUGAAAUUCGUAGAUAUUCGGAGGAACACCAGUGGCGAAGGCGGCUCACUGGCUCGAUACUGACGCUGAGGUGCGAAAGUGUGGGGAGCAAACAGGAUUAGAUACCCUGGUAGUCCACACCGUAAACGAUGAAUGCCAGUCGUCGGGUAGCAUGCUGCUCGGUGACACACCUAACGGAUUAGCAUUCCGCCUGGGGAGUACGGUCGCAAGAUUAAAACUCAAAUGAAUUUGACGG
This 834-nucleotide ribosomal RNA is filed under the name uncultured bacterium. RNAcentral describes it as "bacterial SSU rRNA". It matches the Rfam family "Bacterial small subunit ribosomal RNA", at positions 32 to 916 of the family's 1533-position model. The record is from RNAcentral.